Camellia sinensis is the source of this 1159-nucleotide RNA transcript. RefSeq lists it as uncharacterized. The record is from RefSeq and is a predicted model, not a curated record. NCBI's taxonomy places the organism in Eukaryota, Viridiplantae, Streptophyta, Magnoliopsida, Ericales, Theaceae.
AGACAACAUUGCCACAAAUGGUAUUGCUAGGAACCAUGGAUCGUCUUUGGUUUCACCAAAUCAUUCUCUUCGCCGAACCCACUUCACUUCUUUUCCCCAAAACCCUUAAUUCACUUCAACCCAUUUCACAAACACUUCCACAUCUCUCAUCAAACCUCUCUCAACUUCCUCUCCUAGAGGAGGAAAUCUCAUCAUCAGCCUCAUCUAUCAUCACUCCUUCAAAGCAAAAAGGAAACUUUAUUGGUGAUAAUAACAUACAUUACAAAUGAGAUUACAUCAAUAAAGGAGGGAAGUUCAUAAAGCUCAAUCAUGAGCUAGCACAACUACAAGGUUGGAGAGGAACCAACACAGGCCAAAGGAAGAGAAAAGAAGAAAAUGAAAAAAUAAAAAGGAUGACUGCAACAACCAACACGUUGAUGAUGUUGAUGAUGAGGAGGAGGAUGAGAAUGAAAUAAAAAUGAAGAAAAGAUCCACAAGGUUGAAUGAUAUCUUGAAAUGCAAAUCGCGGUCACACUCAUCGUCUCUACUACAUCAAAUCCACCGCAAAAAGAUCAUACCAUACUCCCGUUCAGUGACGAGGUUACAGAAAACAAUGAGCUGCAAGAGCCUCUUAGAGCUCGAACUCGAAGAAGUAAAAGGGUUCAUGGACUUAGGUUUCAAAUUCAGCAAAGAAAGUCUAAGCCCGCAAAUGAUGAGCGUGUUGCCUGGAUUGCAAAGACUUGAACUAGCAAAUGGCGAUGAAGAAGUAGAUAAAGAUGAUAGAGAUAUAAUUGGAGAAGAAGAAAGAGAAGGCGAAGAAGAGAAGAGAAGUGUAAUGAGGCCAUACUUAUCCGAAGCAUGGGAUAUUAAAAGACCCGACUCGCCAUUGCUGAACUUAAGGUUGCCAAGAGUCUCUGCAGCGGGUGAUAUGAAGAAACAUCUUAGGUAUUGGGCUAGAACUGUGGCUUCUGUAAUUCAACAAGAAUUUUGAGUGAGAAAGAGAGGAGAGAGAUUGUAGUGUUCUUCCACCGACAAGUUACAAGUGUAAGAUAGGAAGUUGUGUGAAGUGAUGAUGAUGAUCGAAAUAAUUGGUGUGUGUAAAUAUAAAUUUUGUUUUGCUUUUUAUUUUGGGUAUGUAAAUGUACCAAGGCAAUGAAAUGGAAUUUUCUCAAACAAAGUA